CGGAGGAUCCAAGCGUUAUCCGGAAUCAUUGGGUUUAAAGGGUCCGUAGGCGGUUUGAUAAGUCAGUGGUGAAAGCCCAUCGCUCAACGAUGGAACGGCCAUUGAUACUGUCAGACUUGAAUUACUGGGAAGUAACUAGAAUAUGUAGUGUAGCGGUGAAAUGCUUAGAUAUUACAUGGAGUACCAAUUGCGAAGGCAGGUUACUACCAGUGGAUUGACGCUGAUGGACGAAAGCGUGGGGAGCGAACAGGAUUAGAUACCCUGGUAGUCCACGCCGUAAACGAUGGAUACUAGCUGUUCGGAGCAAUCUGAGUGGCUAAGCGAAAGUGAUAAGUAUCCCACCUGGGGAGUACGUUGCAAGAAUG
This 365-nucleotide ribosomal RNA is filed under the name uncultured organism. Its description in RNAcentral is "bacterial SSU rRNA". It matches the Rfam family "Bacterial small subunit ribosomal RNA", at positions 526 to 896 of the family's 1533-position model. The record is from RNAcentral.